RNAcentral lists this long non-coding RNA (2396 nucleotides) under Strigops habroptila (Kakapo). Its description in RNAcentral is "lncRNA (ENSSHBG00005001992.1)". Lineage: Eukaryota; Metazoa; Chordata; Aves; Psittaciformes; Psittacidae. The record is from RNAcentral.
AGUGCAAAGGAAAAUCUUAACAUGGAUCGUUUCGCUGGAGUUGAGAACAUGCUUUUUCCCCCCUGUCACCUUAUUAAAAUCAAAAAUUAAAAAAAAAAACAAAACUCUCUAAAUCCUGGAAGUAUGAUCGGAGUCCAGCCCCGAUUUUAGUCCAAAGGACGUGCUUUUGGGAAUUGUGUGUCCGGCUCCAGCGUUUUGCCUGCUGAGGAAGAGGCCUGCUCUGUUCUCCAGCCUUGUUUUGUGGAUUUCUAUCUCUCCAAAUAAUUCCUCAGCAUCCCCUUGAAUGGCAUCUACCGCACUAGAGAGCUUUUCCAACCCACAAGCCUGAAACAACUUCCCACAACUGAAAUGACUCCAGCACAGCUAUUCCCUAGAAGACAUCCCUCCUGAUUUCUUGUGGGGCCUGUAAGAUAUCUGAAGUUGUAGAUGUUGCACAGAACUUCUCCUGCACGGAUACAUGCUCACACUCCCUGCUCAUGCACAUGGAUGCAUAUAAAGACAAUAAUUUCUCACUGUUAUUACUGGAGGGAAAGAAAAGAACAUUAGCAGCACUAAGAAACCCCAUUUCGCCUUUGUAGGAAGUGACUCUACUGUAUAACUGCUAGCAAAAUAAAGGAUCCAAAGGCACAUCAAGGGGAAAAAACUGUUUUCAUGUGUUUAACCUGUUAAUUAUAGUAAUCUACACUACAGUGGAAAGCGCUAACAGGGAAGGAAUGUGCCUCAAACCCCCAGCCAUGCCGAUGCUUGGCAGCCCAUGUCAGCACCAUGUUAAAUGGAUAAACUGGGGCUCUGAUGACUACCCCACCUCUUAUUGCCAAUAAAGAAGGAAUAAAGCUGGAGACACUGGCACCAGGGCAGAGGCUCAGAAGCUACAGUGCUCGGAGGACAGCUUAGCCUCUCUGCAGAUAUAAACAGGGCAGAAAUCAAUUUUACUAAUUGCGGUGGAUACCAUGAGAUCUGUAUCAUCACUCUUGGAAAUGAAAUGCAGGUAAUGAAACCAGUUGAAAUGAAGACAUUACCAACUUGUGACACUUAUUCGUAACACGCAUAUGAAUAGAAAUGCCUCAGGUGGCAUUUAGGACGACUGUCAGUAACUAUUGUUCAAAUCAUCUGUUCUCUUUUGUUCCCCAAACAACUCCUUUUCCUAUGUCAAAGGCAGUUGCCAAGGUGAAUUCACAUUCUGGCACAGCACGUGCACCCAUGUUUGUAUGUUACUUCUUUUGUAUGGUAUGGCAUGGCUGGUGAGUGUGGGUGAGAUAUACCUGGCUGAACGUAAACUUGUUUUAGGUGUUUAUAUUAGGACAAAAUGCAUUAUGCCCCAGGAUUUUUGUCUUCUUUCUAACCAGGAGCCAAAGUUAAUGAGCUGUAGAAGCCUGCAUUUGUGUUACCUCAAAACCAGAGUAGUAGGGUCCACUUGGGUGUUGUUUAAGGGUUUAUGUUUCACAAGUAAUACGAACCCUGAGGUUGGCAUAUGGCCUUGGUGCUGGUGAUGUAACUCCUGGCAGUAAUGUUCUGAUGCUAAUGCAGGCAAGUUAUGGGACCUUUGUCCCCGUAUUUCCUUGUUUCCAGUUUACAUGUAUUUUUAGAAACUAACUUAGGUUUAAACAUCUUCAGUUCAGAGAGCUUGUUAGAUUUUCACACUAACAUUUAUGCCUUUCUGAUCAAAAUGUUCUAACUUAAAAAAUGUAGGCUUUUGGUUGGAUUGUUGGGUUUUGGGUUGUUUUUAGUCUUCUUGUUUUGAGUUCAUUUCUCUUUGGAAAAGGUCUUUUCCCAGCACUCUUGGCUGUACACAGCCAGAGUUUACAAGGUGCACUGAAAUUGAAAUAUCAAAGAGAACUGUUGAAAUGACAUGCUUGUGAAAUGUGUGCAAUUAUCUGCUAUUAACUCAUCUGGAAUCCUGUGAUGAGCAAACUGUGAUUUUCAAUGUGUCAUUACACUGUUACAUCAAUGGGUUGUUCAACAGCUCAAUUUAAAAAAUACUCAAGAAAUAAUCAUUAUAAGAGGUAAUCCUUCCUAUUUGGUUCAAAUAUAUCUGUUCCAGCAUUAGGCUGACAUGAUCAUGGAUCUCAUGAUGUUUCAGUGCUUUGUUUGGAUUUGCUUUCCAGUAUUUACUGCUGAUUUUGCUGUGGGUAUUUUACUUUUUACAAGACAUCUCAGAGUCUGUUUUCUAAUUAUGUAGAGAAGUAUGAGGGAUAAUGUAACCAUUUCUGAUUUCUUGCUUUAAGCUAUAGUGACACAGUGGUGGUCUUCACACAGUGUCAGAGUGGUUAUUUUGUUGUUAUGGUGCUACAAUUUUGCCUCUUCUGGUGGCUAUUCAGCUCGAGUUACUGCGUUCUAGCACUGAAAAGGUAAAUCUAUCUUGUGUUUUUAAUUUGCAAUUAAUAGAAUUUGUAUGG